This 650-nucleotide long non-coding RNA is filed under the name Rattus norvegicus (Norway rat). Its description in RNAcentral is "long non-coding RNA NONRATT015601". The record is from RNAcentral. Lineage: Eukaryota; Metazoa; Chordata; Mammalia; Rodentia; Muridae.
GAUUUUUUUUUCUUGACCCGGCUGGCCCUGAACAGAAUCAUCACAGAGGCUUUUUGUAGUCAGUCACCGUGUUAUAUUCCUCUACUUUGAGGACAACAAGGAACAAAGGUUGAGAAAACUUCAAUGCUUGGGGCUUACACAGAGUUGAGAGUCGGAGUUCUCCACAGAUGCACACCUUUGAUCCCAGCACUUGGGAGGUGGAUCUCUCUGACUUCGAGGCCAGCCUGGUUUACAGAGCGAGUCCCUUGCGUGUCUCUGAGAGUGUCUGUUGUUUUUCUCUGCAUCCUUUACAAUUCUGCUCUGUUUUCUUUUGAAGUGAAAGGACCCAGUGCUGAAUUCUGAUUUUAAGAUGUCUCCAUUGAGCAAUCCACAAUGAAUCUGAGAUCUUUUUCCUGAGCACUUACAAGUGGAGUAAUUCAGAGCCCAUCAGUGAGUGGAAGCUGCUUCGGUUGUUCCUUCCAGUGAACAUUAGCUUGCACUUGUCUACAUGAAAUUUCAAAGAAUCCUAGAUAUUAAAGAUGGAAGGGGUCAGUUAGCUUACCAAGCCUCCCAACUCUGCCUGCAGAAGCAAGCAGAGGAAGCAAUUUUAUCCCUUCAUACUGCUUUGUUGAUGCUUAUUAAUAAUAAUUACAAUAAAUGGUCACAGCAUG